GGGCUUGUGGCGCAACAGAUAACGCGUCUGACUACGGAUCAGAAGUUUCCAGGUUCGAAUCCUGGCAAGCUCG
RNAcentral lists this transfer RNA (73 nucleotides) under Dermacentor silvarum. Its description in RNAcentral is "transfer RNA arginine (anticodon ACG)". It matches the Rfam family "tRNA". Rfam says of the family: Transfer RNA (tRNA) molecules are approximately 80 nucleotides in length. Their secondary structure includes four short double-helical elements and three loops (D, anti-codon, and T loops). Further hydrogen bonds mediate the characteristic L-shaped molecular structure. tRNAs have two regions of fundamental functional importance: the anti-codon, which is responsible for specific mRNA codon recognition, and the 3' end, to which the tRNAs corresponding amino acid is attached (by aminoacyl-tRNA synthetases). tRNAs cope with the degeneracy of the genetic code in two manners: having more than one tRNA (with a specific anti-codon) for a particular amino acid; and 'wobble' base-pairing, i.e. permitting non-standard base-pairing at the 3rd anti-codon position. Lineage: Eukaryota; Metazoa; Arthropoda; Arachnida; Ixodida; Ixodidae. The record is from RNAcentral.